This 7482-nucleotide long non-coding RNA is filed under the name Brassica napus (rape). Its description in RNAcentral is "long non-coding RNA (BNAP_LNC019736)". Lineage: Eukaryota; Viridiplantae; Streptophyta; Magnoliopsida; Brassicales; Brassicaceae. The record is from RNAcentral.
UUCGACAAAGAGUUUCUCUUCAGUUUUCAACAACACAUUACAACAAGACAUAAAACAACCUAAAUAUGAUAAUUAAAAGUGAAAAGAAAAUGACUAAAAGAGAUCAAGGAUUUCUGAAAUGGAGGUGUUGCAUAGAGGACAGUUUCCUCUUUGAACCCAAAGCUCUCUCGAACACAACCUGCAGAACGUAUGACCACACGGUAUAAACGCUGCUCCUUUGCUUCUUACCAUACAAACACAACAACUUAUCUCCGCCGCCGCCGCAGUCUCCUCCACCACUCCUCUCUCCUCUUCCUCCCCGUCUCCUCCUACUUCUACCAAGCUCAUUUGCCCUUCGUUCUCAUCCAACAACUCCAUCAACGACAUCCUCGCCGGCUGCAUGUCUGUCGUCACCGGCGGCGUUUCCUCUUCCCUCGCUGAUAACGCUCUCUCCUCCGCCAACACCACUCCUAACUGUAACCUCCCCUCCGCCGUUACUCCGCCGCUGGAAGCAGACUCCGGUUGCGAUUGUCCUCCUUCGUUUCUGGAGUUGGAGAGUAGAGAACCGAGCUGGUGACUAUCACUAUUGCGUUUGAGGCGGAGCUUUUCGCGUAGAGACUUCCAAGCGGUCUUGUCUCGGUGGCUGCUGUAGUCGUGUCGGUGCUCUCUCUGCAUUACAUCAAGAAGUGUCCGAUUUGAUUGGUUCCUAGACGGCAGAGGCUGCGGCGGGGUUCCGUUUCUGUCGGCCAUUAGAAUAGCUUCGAGAGUCAACCCCGGUAACGAGCUCCGGCCAGUCUCCAUACAAUCUAGUAACGUCACUCUCAGCCUAUCACCACCGUCCAUUUGCAUCAUCUUUUACGGAGUCAAGAGAGAAUAUAGAAUGAGAUUGUGAACUGAAAAACGCAUAUUCAGGACAUAUGCUUUCUACAAGAUACAUGUGGCAAAGAAGCUACAUAUAUGCUGCAUCUAUUGAAACGCUAAAUUAAGCUAACAAUGAAGAAGGUUAAGAGAGAGAGAGAGAGAGAGUCAUACUUAUCCAGUGAACAAAGUGGGGCUCAGUGAAGUAACGGUAGAUCCAGUUUAGGAUGUACAAUCCCCUGUACCCACUGCAAGAAGAUGACAAUCAAGAGAAGUCAAAGGAAGAAGAAGCAAUAACACUAAUCAAAGAAAGCGAGCUUGUUGUACCCAAGGAGAAAAAUGUAUUGGCCAGUCAAGUUAUCGAUAUUUCUAGUCCUUUGCAGCAAGACAAGCUGAGGUAAUAUAGCAACAGCUUCCAAGUACAAUGAAAACGUCCAGAGCACCUCAAGAAAGGUGAACUUCUCGUGGAUGAGAAGAGCCAAGACAAGGCAAGGAAGCACAAGGAACCAGUGGCGAAACGUAUCCUGCUCCCUGUCGUAAGUCCUGUGGACAGCCUUAUGGUACCUCAUGUACCAGACAAUCGAAAAGGAGCUCCCUAAGAAGACCAGCUUCAUGAAGGUGUUGUAGACAGACACGAAGCUCGUGAAAAUGUCCAAGUAACGCGUAGCGAACACAAUGGCGUAGAGCUCUUGCGUCCUCAAUGACACACCUGCAAGUUAAUUAACCGUUACAAACGAAUCAUUCAGAUCAUACGGUCAACGUCAAUUUUAACCUAAACUUAUCAUCGGAAUGGGAAAUGAAGAUACCGGCGCAGGAUUUGAUGGUGUGGAUCUUGAGGAGCAAGACGAGAACACUGGCCAGGUGAGUCAUAUCACCUGCUAAUCUGAAAAUGUUCAUCUUCUUUCGAUCUCUCUCUUCUUCCUUCUCUACACCACAAUCCGGGUUCGGCUCGUGCUAAGAUAGAUCUCGUUGGUGCCGUUUCCACAAACUUCUUCUCCCGUGUUUUUGCUUUUUUUCCCUCUGGUAAUGAAAGCCCAUUACUUCUCGUUGUGGGCUUUGUUCUUUUGGGUAACGAUAUCUUAUUACCCUACCCGAUUUUAUCGGUUUCAUACCUAACCGGUGUGUAUUUUGAUUAACCGAAAAUAAAAUAUACUUGCGUUUUAUUACCUGCCUUGUAAAUCUUCAAAACACGGUUUCAAUAUCAAACAAUUCUAUCACUAUAACCUGUUUGAUUUUCUCUGUGUCAACUGGUUACAUAGCAUAAUUAAGAACAAACUGGAUUGCAAAAUGGCUAUAUCCUAUAUGUUGUGAAUAAUGUCGAAUAAAUCAAAAAUAAAAUUCAAACUACUAUGGCUGAAAUUCAUUAUCAUACUAGCUAGUUUGAAUCGAUUUUGAUCUGAUUUUACAUAUAGUCAAGCAGAUAUCUAGAUACAAAAGAUCUAAUCAGAAUAUCCUACAUCGAUAUAUUAAAUAAAAAAUACAGUUUUUACCCUAUACAAAAUAUGGCAAUUCUCCUAAAACACAAGUUUUUAUCAAACACACAAGAAAAUGAUCAAAAUGUCAUUCAGUGAAGAGCAAAAAAUACUAAGUAAUCUUAAUAAUAAUACAUUUAAUAUAGCUACAAAUAUAAAAAUAUUUUUAUUUUAAAUUUUAUACCAUAGAUGUUAGAGCCAUUUGCACAGAAAAUAGUCAAUAAUUAUGAAAUUUGCAAGGAUAGAAAAGGGUAGUGGAAUCCAACAUUAGUAGGUCUAAAAUACACUGAUGGCCCUAUUAUUCAUUUUGUUAUGUUAAGAGGCAAGAGAAUCCCGUAGAAAUGAUUUUCUUAUGCAAAAAAAAUAGUAGACCCCACUAUUCAAGAAAUAUUAUUUUAUUUAAAAUAUUAUUCUGUUUUCUUUCUUCUCUUGUUUUACUUUUCUCUCAUUUUCUCAAUUUUCUUUAUUAGCUUUCAUAAUCUUCUUAUUUCAACUAUAAUAUUUACUAUUAUUACCAUAUGUAAUCUGUUCACAUAGCUUGCUAACAACGUUAUCUAUCCCGUCUAAUAAAAUAUAUAACCGUCUAUUAUAUUUGGUGCUCAUAUAGCUUGCUAACAAAAUAUGAACCAUUUAAUAAAAUACGAGGGUGUCUAAUAAAAUAUGUAACUGUCGAAUGACCCACUUGGCUACAUCGCACGAUUGAAAGAUUUGGGGUUGAUUCGCGAGGAUGUUUCUGUAAGUCUAAAAUGUUUGGGGUCAAAUUGAAAAGAACUAGAACGCCAGGGACAUGUCGUGCAAAAAAAUAGAAAGUCACCAUUGGAUAGAUCAACCUUUCUCUUCGCCGGAUCUUGAGCUUGAUGGAGAUGGCAAGGAGGAGCACGAUGGCAGUGCUUGAAUCCGAGCAUGACGACGUCGGUAGAGCAAAGCGACUAAAGAUCCGGUGACGAAGGAGUACGCCGUGUAAAUUUUGCAGCGGUCUCGCGACGGUCUCGACGUAAACAUAGGUGGAAGGUGAAGCACCGUCGUGAAGGGAUAAGCUUGACGGCGUACAUUCUGACGCGGCAGUGGAUGGAAGAAGUCGGAGCUCAGGUUCAUGGCGAGUCGGAGGUGGUUGCAGAAGAGGACAAGUGAAUCGAUGUGAAUUUUAAAUGAUUUCCGAUGUAGAUAUAAAAGAAGGUUAAAAGUUUCAACGGAGAACACAUUGUGGACUUACAAACAUAGCGGAGAAUAGGGGAUCAGGUGGACUUCAUAAUCUUUUAACUAAGAGUUUGACGGAGAAAACAAUGUGCAUUUUUUAGAUGAAAAAAGAUGUAAGAGAAGAAGAACUGAAGAGUAUCGAUUAGUGUGAACAUGCAACAACUCUUUGUUGUACAUGUUGCGUAUUAUAGGUUAGGUAGGUGUUUAUUAGACCAAUAUAAUAUACGUUGUAUUGUAGCAGGAAUAGGGAUAGAAAUGUCAUUUAAAAAAAACACAUCAGCAAGAAAAACCAACUUCCAUCUGUGCAAAUUAUGGGGUUAUGUUUGUAGACGGAGUGCAGUUACUAUAAAUUUUAAACCCUACACUCUAAACUCUAAAUCAUAAACCUCCAUCCACAAAAAAACUAAAUCAUAAUUCUCAACCAAUUAACCUUAGUGGUAUGUAUAUAUUUAUAUAUUUUAAUGAAUGCUAGUAUGAUCAUUUUUCUUUUUUAUCUGUGUUAUUUUUAUGUCAUUAUGGCGGUAUUUCUCUUGUUUUAUUAUUCAAAAAUAUAAUUUUAUAUAUAGUUUAUUUAUUAAUUUAAACUUAUCUUGCAUUUUUACGGUCUUAAUAUUUUAUAAAUAAAAUGAUCUAAUUUUUUUUUCAAUCUGUCUUUUACUUGAUAUAUAUUUUACGUAUUUGAUCGUACAAUAAGCAAAAUAGUAAUCAUAUAAAAAUCAAUAAAAAUAUAAUUAUCAUUUAUUAGAAAUGGAUAUAUUAAAUAUCAUAUUUUCAUUUUCAUUAUGUAUAUUAAUUGAAUUAAUAAUAAUUUAAUACUAAAUACAAAUUAUGUAAUUAAUUAAAAGUACAUAUUAAAAUUAUUAAUAUAAUUCAAAGACAUAUUCAUUCAAAAUUUCCAAUAGAUUUUGAAAUAUUUUUAUUAAGAUAAAAUGUAUAAAAAUAUUAGAGUAUCUUUUUAUUAAAUUUGAAACGAAAAAUAUUCAAAUUUUACAUAGCCGGAUUAUCAUGAUAAUAUCUUUACUUUUUUCAAAAUGGAUAGUUACAUGGACAAGUACAAGUAGGAUAAUGUGAGAGGGAAGUGUUGCCAUAACUUCACAACAAAUUGUAUGGUAUGUUGUAGGCUUGUAUUUAGAUAGUAAUUCAAAAGACAUUUAUGGAGUAUAUAUGUGUAAAAAUAAUUUAUAUGGAGUUCUAAUUUAUGCAUUGUGGUUCUAGUUUAAAUAUGCAUAUCAUUGUUAUUUGAACAUCAAAAUUUGGUUUUUGGUGAUUCUAAUUUAUGCAUUAUUAUUGUUUGCAAUUGCAUAGUUGGCAGCAAUAAAGUGAAUGUCAAAUGUCUGAAUGGUUCUGUUGCAGGCUGGGAUCCAGACUACUCAAUGGCUAGACUGAGAUUCAAGAGAUCGGACUGGACAGGACGAACGAAUGGAAAAGGGAGCGGCUAGAUGGAUGCGAUGGAGAGAGGAUCGGCCGGUUUGUACCUGAAAUAAGAGAGAAUGAUUUUUAUGAGUUUUUUUAUGGAUUAAAAAUGAAGAACAUAAAGUAAAUUAACUGAGAAAUAAAGAACAAAAAUAAAUAUGAAUUUUUAUGGGUUUUUAUUUUAAUGGCCGAUCUGAAAUAAAAGAUGCAAUGAAACAAAAACAAGAGAAGGAUAGAGAUGGCUGAUGGAUUCAAGUUGCUGGACGUGUGUCUCUCUCAACAAGAACAGGGGAUGGAGAUGGCGUGAAGAUGGGAUCUGGCUUGCUGGACUGAAGUCUCUCUCAAGAUGGAUCGGUGGAUGGUAUGGCAUGAGGAAUCGCCACAAGCUUGGUGGUGGAAAGCUUGAUGAGAUUCGAGAUUGCUUCUAGCCAAAUCGCUCAACAAGAAGACUUAAGAAUUUUCUUUGCUCUAGGGGCAAACCGACUCAUAUAUUUCAUGAACUAAAAAAAUUACAAGGCUGCUUAUAGUGGGGAUUAAAUACCCUGCUGCUAUGCCCUUCUAGGGGACUUUGAAGCAAAUCAACAUGGACUCUCUUGGACUCUAAAAAUCGACAAGGCCUAGACAAGAAUGGGCCGACUCUUCUUGGACAACUAAAGCAAAGGCUAAACAAAUGGCUUUGAAUUAUUGGACUCAAAUAAAUAAAAAGGACUUAAACAAUUUGCCCAUAAGUUCAUGCAAUUGAAAUUAAAAGAAAGAACCAACACAAACCAAAAACAAUAAACCGGUUAGAAAUCAUAAAUGAAAUCUUACCUUCUUACCUUAAAUGGAAUGGGGCGGAUUACUCAGAACCGGCUGGGAUUGGGACAGGGUCUGAACCGAGUUCACAUGUAGAGAUGGUUAGGCCGGUUCGGUUCUGGGCGAGUGAUCUGAAUUGGAUUGGACCGGCUUGAUCUUGAACCUCUAUUGGACCGGCUUGAUCUUGAAUCUUCAAUUGGAUCAUCUCUUCAAUUAGUAACUCUUCCUGACCGGUUUGAACAUUUUGAUCAAGGAUUUGUUGGACAGCUUUAGAGAAACCGAGUCUUAUGGCCCUGGCUCCACUCCGGGUAGUCGGACCACACCUAACCACGGGAACCUCUAUUUGGAUGGCCGCAUCAGGUUCGGAGAUUUUCGUAUUAAUAAUCAAACAUAUAAAAUAGUUUGGCAAUUACAAAAAGUAAAGAGAUUGUUUAAACAAGGUCAUCUAAACAAAGUCUUUUUGAUGGGAUUUAAGAUCGUCAAAAGGGGAUCUCCUCUCAAGAGAAGAGGUUGUCCAUGAUGAAUAUUUGUGGUGGUGGUCGAUGUUGACGAUCUCUAAAUGUAGAAUGUUUAUACGAUUAUGCUUUUGAAUGAAUAGUGAUAGUUUUUCACGUAAACACGAUUUGUCAGUCAACAAGGUAUAUUUUCUUAUAUAGGUUGGGCUUGGUUUUGGUUCUAACAUUCUAAUGAGUCGUGUGUUAGAAUAAUCUCCAACAACUAUGAUCAUUUGGAAUGUUGUAAAUACUGAAAGCAUUCUUGUAUAUUUUUCAGUGAGAACUCGAAUUAGUGAAAUAUUCCUAAGUGGUGAUGCAAUGCAAGGUAAUGUUUUCGGACAUAUUCUAGUAAAUGAUGAGGACCAUGAGGUUGGUUUCAUGGGAAGAAGUUAAUGAUAGUUAAGAUAUGUUAUUGGUGUCAAAAUAAUCUCCGAGCCCAGAAAAAAUUGAGAAGGCUCAAGCGGAGCUUGGGUAUUUAACAUUGAUACUCCUUUAUGCGAUGUUCAAAGUAAACACUUCAAUUUUCUAAAGCUAUCAGUUAACUCAAAUGUGUACCAAAGACACUUGUCUUAACACGCAGCAAGUAGAGUUGUUAACCAGUGUACCUCUCAGUUAGGUGAUUGUUGGUAGCCAUAAGUAUAGUCGGAAGAUUGUUCACGUCUUGAACGACCACAUAUGGAACCUCUUCCAACACACAUCAGUGACAGCAGAAUUAAAUAUGCAAUUUAUGGUCAACCAUAAAUUGUUUUCCUCUCUCAACUCCUCCAUUGUACUUUGAUUGCCAUAUUACCAAAUGUAAAAGAUAGAUGGGUUGGUGAAGUUUUUAAUAAGAUGAUUUAUGUGAAUAAAGUGUAACUUUUGGUUCAUGAAUGUAAAUAAUUCAAUUUCUUUUCCCAGUAUGUUUUUCAAUUUAACUUAAACUCUUGAUUAGUCUCUUCUAUUUAGUGGUAAUAGUUUAACUUAACAUUUUCUGGAAAAAUAACAGAAAAACGGUUAACACUUCCAAGAAUCUGAGAGAGAGAGAAUUCGACAAAGAGUUUCUCUUCAGUUUUCAACAACACAUUACAACAAGACAUAAAACAACCUAAAUAUGAUAAUUAAAAGUGAAAAGAAAAUGACUAAAAGAGAUCAAGGAUUUCUGAAAUGGAGGUGUUGCAUAGAGGACAGUUUCCUCUUUGAACCCAAAGCUCUCUCGAACACAACCUGCAGAACGUAUGACCACACGGUAUAAACGCUGCUCCUUUGCUUCUUACCAUACAAACACAACAACUUAU